RNAcentral lists this ribosomal RNA (778 nucleotides) under uncultured Neocallimastigales. RNAcentral's name for it is "partial large subunit ribosomal RNA". It matches the Rfam family "Eukaryotic large subunit ribosomal RNA", at positions 23 to 629 of the family's 3401-position model. Lineage: Eukaryota; Fungi; Neocallimastigomycota; Neocallimastigomycetes; Neocallimastigales. The record is from RNAcentral.
AGAGAGAGACAUGCGCGCAUAUCAAUAAGCGGAGGAAAAGAAACUAACUAGGAUUCCCUUAGUAACGGCGAGUGAAGCGGGAAGAGCUCAAAUUUGAAAUCUUCAAGGUUCUACCUUGACGAAUUGUAGUUUAAAGAAGUGUUUUCUGUUGAAGUUUUGGUAAAAGUUCUUUGGAAUAGGGACAUCAUAGAGGGUGAGAAUCCCGUAUUUGACCAUUAUUUUCAGCUGUGUGAUACACUUUCAAAGAGUCGGAUUGUUUGGGAAUGCAGUCCAAAAUGGGUGGUAAAUUUCAUCUAAAGCUAAAUAUUGGCGAGAGACCGAUAGCGAACAAGUACCGUGAGGGAAAGAUGAAAAGAACUUUGAAAAGAGAGUUAAACAGUACGUGAAAUUGUCAAAAGGGAAGCGUUUGACACCAGUGUUGUUUUCUCGAAAAUCAAUUCAUGAUGGCUUGAUGCUAGGUUGUUAUGACUUUAUCAGCAUACUGUCUAGUUUUCUUGUCUUUGUGAAUGCACUUUUCGUUUAACAAGUCAACAUCAAUUUCUUUUGUUGUAAAAGGGUCAGAUGGAAGGUGGCUUCAGCUUUCGGUAGAAGUGUUUAUAGCCUUUUACCUCUGCAGUCGGAGAGAUUGAGGUCUGCAGCGUAGAUCCUUCGGGGUUAGAUACAUUUGUGCUAAGUUAUAGCCUUUCAUAGACAACUUGUUGACUAUGAUUCAGUCAUGUAGCUUACUCGCUUAUGUUAUUUUACCUACGCUUAGGAUGUUGACAGCAGUAUAGACUGU